GUACGUCUUCAGGGCGGGGUGAAAUUCCCCACCGGCGGUAGGCCAUGCAAAGUGGCAAGCCCGCGAGCGCCCGCGGUCCGGCAACGGUCGGCGGGGUCAGCAGAUCUGGUCAGAUUCCAGAGCCGACGGUCAUAGUCCGGAUGAGAGAAGAUGUGC
This is a non-coding RNA of Bordetella bronchialis, 156 nucleotides long. NCBI's taxonomy places the organism in Bacteria, Pseudomonadati, Pseudomonadota, Betaproteobacteria, Burkholderiales, Alcaligenaceae. The record is from Rfam.